GACGAACGCUGGCGGCGUGCCUAAUACAUGCAAGUAGAACGCACAGUUUAUACCUUAGCUUGCUACACCAUAGACUGUGAGUUGCGAACGGGUGAGUAACGCGUAGGUAACCUGCCUGGUAUCGGGGGAUAACUAUUGGUAACGAUAGCUAAUACCGCAUAAUAUUGAUUAUUGCAUGGUAAUUGAUUGAAAGAUGCAAUUGAAUCACUACCAGAUGGACCUGCGUUGUAUUAGCUAGUAGGGGAGGUAACGGCUCAUCUAGGCGACGAUACAUAGACGACUUGGGAGGGUGAUAGGCCAAACUGGGACGGGGACAAGGCCCAGAACCCUAAGGGAGGGAGCCGGAGGGGAUCUUUGGACAUGGACGAAAGUCUGACCGAGGAACGCCGGGUGAGUGAAGGAGGUUGUCGGGUCGGAAAGGUCUGUUGUGAGAGAAGAACGGGUGUGAGAGUGGAAAGUUCACACUGUGACGGUAUCUUAACAAAUAGCGACGGCUAACUACGUG
Molecule: ribosomal RNA, 505 nt
Filed under: uncultured bacterium
Lineage: Bacteria
Description: partial 16S ribosomal RNA
Rfam family: Bacterial small subunit ribosomal RNA
Source: RNAcentral